AACGAACGCUGGCGGCAGGCUUAACACAUGCAAGUCGAGCGAGACCUUCGGGUCUAGCGGCGGACGGGUGAGUAACGCGUGGGAACGUGCCCUUCUCUACGGAAUAGCCCCGGGAAACUGGGAGUAAUACCGUAUACGCCCUUUGGGGGAAAGAUUUAUCGGAGAAGGAUCGGCCCGCGUUGGAUUAGGUAGUUGGUGGGGUAAUGGCCCACCAAGCCGACGAUCCAUAGCUGGUUUGAGAGGAUGAUCAGCCACACUGGGACUGAGACACGGCCCAGACUCCUACGGGAGGCAGCAGUGGGGAAUCUUAGACAAUGGGGGCAACCCUGAUCUAGCCAUGCCGCGUGAGUGAUGAAGGCCUUAGGGUUAUAAAGCUCUUUCAGCUGGGAAGAUAAUGACGGUACCAGCAGAAGAAGCCCCGGCUAACUCCGUG
Molecule: ribosomal RNA, 433 nt
Filed under: uncultured bacterium
Lineage: Bacteria
Description: partial 16S ribosomal RNA
Rfam family: Bacterial small subunit ribosomal RNA
Source: RNAcentral